Molecule: long non-coding RNA, 1236 nt
Organism: Magnolia sinica
Lineage: Eukaryota; Viridiplantae; Streptophyta; Magnoliopsida; Magnoliales; Magnoliaceae
Exons: 3
Source: RefSeq, a predicted model, not a curated record
CUACAAUGUAUUUGAAUACUAGAUUUUAAUCUUACCUUUUACAUUCCAUCAGAUUGCUAUAGUUUGCCUAAUUCACAUCCAAGGCGUCUAUGACAAAAAUUGGCAUUCUUUUCUUGUAUUUUUCUUUAUUAUGAAGAUAGUUUCCCAAAAUGUGUUUUGGUUGAGUUGACUGAUGAAGUAAAUGAGGCAUUGUAUACGCAGCUGAUGAUAAGCAAAAAAUAUGAUAUGAUGUUGGUGAGCUACAUCAGGCAUCCAUCUCUCUGUUCUAAUAUUAAAGGAAUGGGCCAAAAGAGGGAAGCAAUGAUUGGCCAAGGACAGCCAGCAUCCCCACAAUGGAGAAUGACCAUAGAAAGAUGUUUCCACAUUGAAGAAAGCUCUUUUGACUUGCAUUGGGAACCGGACACUUAGAAUGCCUUAGAUGAGAAGCAACAAUAGCCGGUGAAUGCCAACACUAAGGAUAGAAGCAUCUAUGAACAAGCCUAUUAGAUAUCCUUGGUGACCAUCUAUCUUAUGGACAUGUCUUUGCAGAGCUUUCUCACCUAUGGCCACAAGAAGGAGGGGACUACAUCUUGGAGGAACUAUCUCUCUGCAGAUUUAAACUCAUCGAACAUGACCUUUUGUUACCUGUUGGCAUCCAUCCAAUUGAAAAAUCUCAUAAAGCUUCCCAAGUUCUGUUAUGUCUGCUGGAAGGCAGUCUUCUGGCAAGGCCUAUAUGGAUUUCAGUUAGAUGAUCUUUUCUACCACAUGCAAAGUAAAACUAUAGAGAAAUGCUAAGGCGAUUCGUGUGCAGGCAGACAGAAGAGGCAGAGAUUCAAGUCACAUAUGUGCGAGAUCCAAGCUGUUCAUUAGUAUAUAUUUUCUUGUUUUAUCAAAAAGGAAAAGAAAAAUAUUGCCAGAGAGUAUCUUGAGUUUUACUAAUUAACUCAGGAGAAUACUCGGAUCCUUAGCUUGUAAAAGUGGUGUCCAUGGCUUGGUUAUCCGAAACGAUUUGUUUAUUGGGAUCCACCAUGGAAGGAUCCUUCAAGAUCUUGAAUAGUUAUAGGGAAACUUUUUUUUUUUCUUCCCAUAUAGAAGUUUUUAGUAUCAACCAAUCCUCUAUCUACCCAUACUUCAUUAGUGUUCAGGGUUUCCUUUCAUUUUGAUUAUUUUCAAAAUAUAUAUGUUUAUAUUUUCUAGAAACCUGCAUUAUUUGACACCCAUGUCUGACACAUGUUGUUGUUCUUUUUUCUUAUUACG